This is a long non-coding RNA of Triticum aestivum (bread wheat), 8178 nucleotides long. RefSeq lists it as uncharacterized. The record is from RefSeq and is a predicted model, not a curated record. Lineage: Eukaryota; Viridiplantae; Streptophyta; Magnoliopsida; Poales; Poaceae. The transcript has 5 exons.
CUUAAAACACGCAGACUCCCCAACAGGUCUCCCCAAUCUUCCUUCUCACGAAAGCUCCUACAGUCCUGCCCAAUCGAUUGAUCCAUCAACUCAUCGCUCUGACCAAAAUAUUUUAGCAUGCAUAUCUAAGAUUGAUCCAUCAACAUCACUUCCUGGCAGAUGAAUUUGGAAGUUUCAGCAGCGAAGGAAGAUGCAACAGGGUACAGUAAUGAUUGAUCUUGGAGAUUGCUGUGCACAAGAGCAACGUCAAGCUACAGAUUUAUCCAUCAACAUCACUUCCUGGCCGAUGAAUUUGGAAGUUUCAGCAGCGAAGGAAGAUGCGGCAGGGUACAGUAACGAUCGAGCUUGGAGAUUGAUGUACACAAGAGCAACGUCCAGCUCCAGGUGCUAUUAACCAUAGAGCGUCUGGAAUUUGUUAUUUCCACACGUAUGUGCCUAAUCCUAAAGAAUUAUAUCUGCUCUUCAAUCAUUGUACCAAGCUCAGAUUAUUUCUUCUUCUCAUGCUGAAGGUUUGAUACUAAGUUGCUAACACAAUUCAUAUAAUUUACCUCUUUGGUUAUUAACCAGUAUGAUCAAGGUUGUCAGAAUCGCGAUUUUGAAUCGGAUCGGAGCUCUGAUGGUAGAAUCAUAAAUUGUAGAAUCUUCACUACCAGGAUCGUAGAAACGUAGAUUUUAUGAACUAAAAUCGUAGAAUCAGAUGGGUAAGUUUGGAUCGUAAAGUCGUAGAAUCGUAUAACAGAAUCGCGAUUCUAACAACCUUGAGUAUGAUAGCUUUUCCAACAUAAGGCCAUGAUCAUGUUGGACCUAUCUGGAACUUGACGUGGAUGGAGAAAAGCUGUAUGACGAGAACCCAACAAACAACCAGUUUUUUUUUGCGAGUACUGAGAUAAGCCAGCAUAUCAACAUUAUCCUGAUUUGCUCCUUUGGCGUAUGAGAAGCGCACCACGAGCAAGCCAUGGUCUAUUUCCAAGAAGGUGGCUAUAUAUGAUGUACCCAGCUUCAGGCCAAAGAUCAUUGCCAAAGUUUUCAUUAGCUACGCCACGUUGGAUGUCCUUAAUGCAGUUAACCACGGAGGGAGUGCACUGAUAGUAGAUGGCAGACAUAAUACUUGAAUUUCAUACAUCACAACUGUAGGAUAACAUGGUAAAAUGGUAAGCAGGGUGAGUAAGAGUAAAUGGAUUUACAUUACGAAAGGAUUAUUGAUGUUUUCUGUCAUUUUGUAGACAUCCUCUAGGUUACGUGGUAUUCUGGGUACAAUUUAUUAUUCAUAAAGCAUGAAAAAAUUCAAGCAUGGUCUAUGCGUGCAAUAGUUGCUCGAGCAUCUGGAAUACUUUGUGUCUAUUCUUCUUUUUCUUUUUAUCUUUAUAUAACUGAAUCAUUUGAUCUCUCAUUGUUGUUUGCGUUGUGUACAAUUGUAGGAUGCUAUGAAAAAAACUUAUCAUUUUGUAAGACGCACUCAGUAUUUUAUUCGUACUAGCACAAAUACCCGUGCGUUGCAACGGGGAACAAAACAAACCUCACUUCACUGACCCAAUGGCUCAAGACCUCCUCCUCCUCUCGCCGCGCCCCAUCGCCAGACAUGAUGCCAUCAACAAACUCCUUGAAAUCUUCCACACUGCCACACGAGAAACAAAAUAAAUGUUAGGAGUGUUGUCCAAAGACCCUCCAUCUUUGGCUAAUAUAACAGAGAAAAGUGCGGAGUUUGUGUCACACACAGUAGGGACUCCGAGUCCAACUCCUUGUACUUUGGUGACGGGCGCUAGUGGGUCGAGCCGAAAAAUAAUAGUGAAGAUUUGUUUUGGUCUUAGAAAAAUAUAGCAUAUGACCAACAAAUAAUGAAAAGUUUUUAUUGUGAUUUAGACAAAAAAAUUGCAUGUGUUAUCGUAAUAUGCUUGAGUUAAACAGUUCUGAUACGUCAAAUAUUAGUAUCACAAUAUCGUAUCUUGGUUUGUGACGUCAAUAAUUCAUAUAUAAAGAAGUAGUUCACCCAUGGCAGAUGCACCUAAACACAACACCUCGCAAUUUAGCUACAAAAAAGCGGUUCAAGAUGAUUUAGACACAAAGAAGAAAUUCAUCAGUUCAAUAACUGAAUAAGCCUCGGGGCAUGUAGGCAAACUAUGAUAUUUUUGGGCCAUAAUUACCAAAUGUGUAUAUGGGGUGAAGCAAUUCUUGGUGUAUGUUCAUUUAAAAUGGUAUUCAAUUUUUCUUGUCGAAUAUCUUAUUGUUUUUCAACAAACUUAUAUUCUAAUUAGAUUGGAAUCACAUUAAAAAUUUAAUUUAUCUUUAAACUUAUGUUUUGUUUUACUGGUUAAAUUUUACGUUAAAUCCCUAUAAUUUAAUUUUAAAUAACAGACAUAUAUUUAAUACUUUAUUUCUUGUUUAUUAUUUUGCAAUUCACAUGUAAAUGAAGUUGUAUUUUUUAUCCAUGUAAUUAAUAAAAUAUGUCUAAUAUUAUUAUCGGGAAUUAUAAUGCACGGAUGUGUCUGCUCAUCCCUUCAAGCGCGAUAGGCGCCACGCCAUUUAAUGUGUGAGACCGGUCAUGCAUGUGAUGAUGAUUCGAUUGAUUGCUAUUGUCAUGUCCUCCGUGGGUGAUGUUGUUAAGUCAUGCGUUAGUACAUCCCAUUAUUUUUUUGAACAACAUAAAAUCUUGAUCGACCAUGAUCUAAGUUUCUUUUUUUAGUGCAAAGGCAUCUAACAUUGUAUGUGCUCACGUUAAGCUCAACUUGUAUGCACGUUCCCAUAAAAAAAAUCCUUAUACGCAUGUUUUUAUAUAUUCCUGAUAGAUCAGACCGGCCGCUCAUGUAUGAUGAUCCCAUUGCAUGCUACUGUCAUGGUCGCCGUGGGUGAUGCUCUGUAAAUCGCGCCUUAGUGCAUCGCAUUAGUUUUCUGAACAACUCAAAAUGUUGAUUGAUCAUGAUCUAAGUUUCUUUUUCAAGUGCAAAGGCAUCUAAUUUUGUAUGUGCUCAAGUUGUACGCGUCCAUAAAAAACAUGUUUUUAUAUAAUUCUUGAUAGUCCUUUCUGCUUUUCUUCUUCUUCUCUAAUUUGAAUGUGUCCAGAUGGACUCUCCUUCCCAUAGGGGAAACCAUUCUGUCACAUCUUUCACAUAUGGAAUCUUCCUUCUCGAGUCUAUCCUCAAUACAUGACUACCUUCCUUUCCUGCCUCAUCUUGCGCAUGGACCCGAAAUCCCUCUCUUUCCUUCAUUAUUGUUUCAAUCCCUCUUUCCUUCCUUACUGUUUUUGCAUAUGGCCCAAAGCGAGAUGACCCACAUGACUCCCAUGGGCUUGCUUUGAUAAACCCCCAUGGGCUGAUCUCACGCGAGGGAUAAACAUAACGAAAGUUUUUUAGGAAAAAAAAUACUUUAUUAGUAUCACCUUGGAUAAAAAAACAAUAUAAUAUGAGUGAACGGAUCAAAAAAACGGAGAAACGCACUGUGCUUUAUUAGAAAAAAAAUGUUUAUGCGUUGCAAUGGGAGAAAAAUCACAUACUCAUGCUUUAGGGAGCAAACACCCUUGCUAUAAACCAGGUGAAAAUAUAGCUAAAUGGAAUGAUGAAGAUGUAAGCUCACCACGACCUUCAAUGACUGGUGGCGACUGCCGGCACGGCCGUCUAUGAAGAUGUAAGGUCACCCAGGCACCAAACCAACCUUCUACACAUCCUCACGAGACGAUGGCCUAACACCUGCUCGAGUGUUGCUAUCGCCGCCAUCGUCAACCCACACACCAUCCUCCUGCUAGCACCAGGUACAGAUGAUAAUUGGAACUGUAGGUAUACCAAAAUAUUUUCAUGUGUUGCAAUAGAGAAAAAGAUUUCUUUGGCAUUAUUUUUUAUGAUUAUUCCAAUAGAUUGACUUAAAAAAUAAUGCAACUAUGGAUGUUAUUUUUCUCUUAAUGCAUUGUUUCAUCAACAUACAUUCAUAAUACUAUCAAGUAAGCCCUCGAAAAAUAAUAAAUAAUAAAAUAAUAAUACUAUCAUGUAUGCCACGUGGUGAUUCCACAUUUUACUUCACUUCCCAUUUUUAACCAUACUUCAUGUAGGAUUUUUGAUUAAUCCGAAUAGUCACUUUGGAGCAUGGGCACAUUGUAGUCGUUUUUAGAAACAUGUUUCUAUCCAAAAAAUUAAAAAAAUGUAGUAUAUUUGUGUGAAUUUUCAUCAAAAUUCGUGUUUGUAUGUGAAAGAUUAAAAGGAAGACAACUACAUGCAAAAAAACCAAAAUAUUUUUCGCUGGAUUUUUGUCUUUUUUACUUUUAAUAAAAUUUGGCAUGUACUUGGAUUUUCAUAUUUUUCAGGUUUAUUAUCUUCUUUAAUUUUUUGGUGGCGACGUUGUCUAGUCACGCACAUACAUUUGUUCCUACUUUUAUGGAUGUACAGAUGCAUUUUUCCUAGCAAAUAUUGGGCGUACACAUACACUUUUUCAAACCAGCUACCAAUGCAGCACCAUCCCAGGCCGUGCCCACAAUCACGUUUUAUUAGAGAAUCCAAUCAGCUUUAAUUAAGAGCCAUGCAUGAGGUGGCUACGCGGCUGGGCCAGGGAGGCUGGGCUUGGGCGCGAGCGCUGUGCUAGGCCUUGGAGGGUCACUCGGCCCACCACACGAGCGGCGGGCUUGGUCGACGUUCUCGUCGAACAAGGGCAUAGGCAGGAGGUGGCUUGCGGCGGCGCUGGAGGCAAACUCCGAUGGGGACGGCAAGGGGCGGUGCAGAUCUAGCGUGGGAGUGGUGGGGAUGGGUUUCCCGCAGCCAGAUCUCGCCGGAUCCGAGCACGGACAACUCGUGGCGGCGGCUAUGGAGCACCUGGCGUCCUGAAGAGAGAGAGAGAUGUGAGGAAGAGAGAAGAAGGAAGGGAGAGAGAGAGAGAGAUGCGCUGCUCAUCUGCUGGUCCGGCGAGGGUCCGGUCGCCGGCGGCGAGGCGAGGUGGAGGAGGUCCGGCCGGUGCGGUCAGGCGCAGGAGGGAGCUCGAGGGGUAGCUUAGGGAAGCGACGGCGUACUGGCGCGGCUCAUCCCGAAUUAGCGGUACAAAAUGUUUUUUUUACUUAUUUAUUGUGGUUAUUUAAUUUGGUAGCGGUUUUUUUAGUACCACCUUGAGUAUAUGCUUUAAAUUUAAACUGAAAGCGUAAAUUCACGAGAAGAAGCGUAUUGUGACGGUGAACCCAUGGAGAUAAUUCGUACUUUUUAUUCGUAAAUUUUUCUUACUGUUUGGCAUUCUAUAACCAUCUAGACAGUAUUUUCAGAUAAUUUUGUUCUCCCUGCAACUAAAGUUCAGUUCUAGACACGUUUAACUCCAUGUACUACGCUUCUACGCAAAAAAGAAAAAAUUGUACUGCUACCCUGAAGCAAUUGAAGCGAGACCCUUCCUUCAUGCAAACCAACUAGUUCAGUUGGAACCGACAUUCUCGUAGAUAGUGAGGUGCUUGUCGUGACUUCAUUAGUUUCAAAACGUACCGGUUUAUUCUCUUGGUGCUUAUAGAGGUAUGAUAUGCGUGUGUACUUUUAUACGGCGAGUGUAUGUACAUAUUUGUGAGCGUCGGCGUCUAUGCUUUGUCUUUAAAAAAAAAGUUCCACUUACACAUUUGCAUGCAUUAACUUAAUGUGCUCGUGUUUUGCACUGGGAAUAAAAAUCGUCUACUCACAUUUUGCCACUUUUCAUGUUCGCCAUCACCGACGAUUUUCAUGUUCACCACCUCCGUUCAUGAUGGAUUCCAUCGAGCGUGUUCCCUCUGCACCUCGGGGUCCUCCGCCGGCGACGGCCCCAUCGAGACCUCCACUACGACGCCCCCAUCAAGCUCGCGGCCGACCGUGUUCUCUCCCGCAUCAGCCUGUCGCUGCGCCUCGGUCCUCCUCCGAGGUGUUCUUCCUUCCUUCGCCCUUCCUACUUUCCCUUUUCUUGUGGAGAUAAUUCUUUGGCAUCAUCCUCUUCAUCUCCGCUUAUCAAUUUCCAUGGCCGCUUGUUCCGUCACCGGGGCAUGCAUAUAUAAACUGAUGAAAUUAGAUGUAAAAGAGCAAUAUGGGAUUAUUAACUGAAAGGAGAACACGUGGCUUUUGUAUAGGUGAGUCAAUCGCACACACUGUCGUUGGGUAGCCCACUAUAGAUAAAAAUAAAUUAUGAAUCCUUCUACAACAGAGUGAGCCGAGGCCGGAACACAUGUACUGCUGCGGCAGCCCAAUACGGGGAUAGAAAAAAGGAAAAAGCGGACGGGAAUUUUAGUACCACCUCGAAAAGGAGCGGAAGAAAAUAACUUCAAACUGAAAGCAUAAAUUCACAGCAAAAAAACGUAUUGUGACCGUGAACCCACAGAGUCAAUCCGUGCUUUAUUAUUAGGGAUAGAUUUUAUACGCUGUAUCUAAUAUUUUUAGAUGUACAGGUGGCACUUAUGAGUUUGAAUUUCUGUCGGUCGGUAGCCAAGUGAAUGAACCUAUUUUUAUAUAAAAAUCUCAUCCACUAUAGAAACAUACACUUUAAUUUGGUCAACUCUUAAUACACAAUUCUACUCCGUAUUGUCCUUUCAGUGUGAAAAAUAAUUUCUUUAAUAUGUGCUACAUUUAUAUUAUUGGCUAACUAAUUAUAAAGGAAACAAUGGCUCUUAGGCAUAAACUGCACCUUUGCUUUUAAAUAUAGCAUGUGUUUUCAGUCUGAAUAAUAAUUUAUAAACAUCAUGUUUAUGUAUAUGUUGUAGGCUAAAGGAAAUAUCGGAAAGCAACUACACAUUACAUGUUAUGGAGUAUGUUCUUUGUUAUGGAACAACAGGCUCCUACUAUGCCAUAUUAAAAAUAGAGAUAUUUGUAUAUUUGAGGGGGCUAUGGGCCUCAAAGGGUGAAAACAAAGGUUCGGAAUAAAGGAAUGCAAAGGAUCUUAGUGUAAUGCUUGAACAGACGAUAUAACUAAAGGUCUAGGUCAGCGAUGUUCCUCUGAGCCAAGAUCUCCUAGCACCAUGUUACAAAUUAAAUAUCUUCUAUAUCAUUUCUUCUAAUUGUUCGACAUGCCAAGUAUCAUCUUUCCAUAACAGUUAGGGAUACAAGACUCAGCAAUGGAAUAGUUGGAUAUAUGCUAGCUUCGAUUGGCAGGUUCGAUUAGAAUCAAUAGUUUAAUUUAAUUUUGCAUACCCUCUAGAUUGCAAAUUCAAGACGCUAUUGUGUUGCGAUGUGAGCAGAGCAUGCUCGAGCUAUUUCGACCAUUGUUUUUAGAAUUGUUUGAGUGUAUAUGUUCAGUACUGGUGUUGUACUAUCUUCACUUCUAUUGCAGAGUAUGCCCUUCUUUUCCUGUCAUACUAAGGUCACCAGAUCAAAUCUGAUGGGGGCCAUUCCAUCACAAACAUUUUAUAUUUCACAUGUAGUCCUUUCUCCAUGAUUCAGCCACGCAUGAAAUUGUUUCUUCUCUUUCCAUUGUAUAUGAUUAUCCAUGUCACAAGGGCAAAGCUUACUUCCAACAUGCAUAGGAACUAUAACCUCCGUCGUAAAUUACUUAACUAAGAUUUGUCUAGAUACGGAUGCAUCUAGACACGUUUUUAGAUACAUCCGUAUCUAAACAAAUCUGAGAAAAGUAAUUCAGGACGGAGGGAGUAUAUAAUUGAAAAAUUCAAAAUGUGGUGCAUGCAUGCUUCUUAUUUGUAGGUUUACAGUAGAGAAUUAUUCUCUCCGAGCAUAGCAUCCUAUUUCUAUUUUGCCAUUGGAUAGUCAGACUGAUCCUUGCGCAACACUUAGUCAUUUUUUAGAUUCACUCCAUAUUAAUGGUAGUAAGAUGUUAUGAAUAUAUUUCAUAAUACUAAAAAUCAAUAAUAUAUCUUUUUCAUAAUAUUCAAAUGUAAGAAUUUAGCUGGAACAACAAUUUUUUAAGGAACGAUGUAAUUUUACCAAGUAAGCAUAUCAUUUCUACUUCAAAACCUAAGAUUUAUAGGACUACAUGUGCUAAACAAAAUGUAUGUGGUUUUCCACUGAUAUUUGUGAAAACGCACAUAACUACAGUGAUCCAGACCAGUAGUUACAUUCAUAACAAUUUUACUGGGAUGAUGGUGCCGAUAAAUCUUUAGAGAACGAUGGAACUUAAUAAAAAUUAUAUGUAACUUUUGGUCCUACUAAUUAUAGUACCAUUUUUUGGGAUAAUAUUGUGCCAGUUAUUACAUGUUCGAAAAAGUAAUAUCUCUUCUGCUUAUUCAUAAAAUUCUUAUUCAAUUUGUAAAAGAUUUUA